This 484-nucleotide ribosomal RNA is filed under the name uncultured bacterium. RNAcentral describes it as "partial 16S ribosomal RNA". It matches the Rfam family "Bacterial small subunit ribosomal RNA", at positions 29 to 507 of the family's 1533-position model. The record is from RNAcentral.
AUUGAACGCUGGCGGCAUGCCUUACACAUGCAAGUCGAACGGCAGCACGGGAGCAAUCCUGGUGGCGAGUGGCGAACGGGUGAGUAAUACAUCGGAACGUGUCCAGUAGUGGGGGAUAACCCGGCGAAAGCCGGACUAAUACCGCAUACGACCUACGGGUGAAAGCGGGGGAUCGCAAGACCUCGCGCUAUCGGAGCGGCCGAUGUCAGAUUAGCUAGUUGGUGGGGUAAAGGCCUACCAAGGCGACGAUCUGUAGCUGGUCUGAGAGGACGACCAGCCACACUGGGACUGAGACACGGCCCAGACUCCUACGGGAGGCAGCAGUGGGGAAUUUUGGACAAUGGGCGCAAGCCUGAUCCAGCUAUGCCGCGUGCGGGAAGAAGGCCUUCGGGUUGUAAACCGCUUUUGUCAGGGAAGAAACGCUCCGGGCUAAUACCACGGAGUAAUGACGGUACCUGAAGAAUAAGCACCGGCUAACUACGUG